This 497-nucleotide ribosomal RNA is filed under the name uncultured bacterium. RNAcentral describes it as "partial 16S ribosomal RNA". It matches the Rfam family "Bacterial small subunit ribosomal RNA", at positions 28 to 507 of the family's 1533-position model. The record is from RNAcentral.
GAUGAACGCUGGCGGCGUGCCUAAUACAUGCAAGUCGAGCGAACAGACGAGGAGCUUGCUCCCCUGACGUUAGCGGCGGACGGGUGAGUAACACGUGGAUAACCUACCUAUAAGACUGGGAUAACUUCGGGAAACCGGAGCUAAUACCGGAUAAUAUAUUGAACCGCAUGGUUCAAUAGUGAAAGACGGUUUUGCUGUCACUUAUAGAUGGAUCCGCGCCGCAUUAGCUAGUUGGUAAGGUAACGGCUUACCAGGGCAACGAUGCGUAGCCGACCUGAGAGGGUGAUCGGCCACACUGGAACUGAGACACGGUCCAGACUCCUACGGGAGGCAGCAGUAGGGAAUCUUCCGCAAUGGGCGAAAGCCUGACGGAGCAACGCCGCGUGAGUGAUGAAGGUCUUCGGAUCGUAAAACUCUGUUAUUGGGGAAGAACAAAUGUGUAAGUAACUAUGCACGUCUUGACGGUACCUAAUCAGAAAGCCACGGCUAACUACGUG